RNAcentral lists this microRNA precursor (82 nucleotides) under Microcebus murinus (gray mouse lemur). RNAcentral describes it as "miRNA (ENSMICG00000043023.1)". The record is from RNAcentral. Lineage: Eukaryota; Metazoa; Chordata; Mammalia; Primates; Cheirogaleidae.
CUUGAGCUCAGGAGUUUGAGGCUGCUGUGAGCUAUGAUCUUGCCACUGAACUCCAGCCUGAGUGACAGAGCAAGACCUGUCU